RNAcentral lists this unclassified non-coding RNA (1826 nucleotides) under Caenorhabditis elegans. Its description in RNAcentral is "Non-coding transcript of protein-coding gene fkh-7". The record is from RNAcentral. Lineage: Eukaryota; Metazoa; Nematoda; Chromadorea; Rhabditida; Rhabditidae.
GCAAACGCCGAUGUGAACAAUCCGUUGCAAAUGCUAUCAGCUGCUGCGGCCGCUGGAAAUCAUUCGGGUGGUAUUCUAGAAGGACAGUUGCUGAAUAAUGUGAAAGAAGAGAUGAUGGAUGUUAGCGAGCCACACAAUGGACAUUUAUUGAGAGGUAAAUUAUUUUGCACCCACUAAUAAAAAACAAAAUAUAAUAACACCAUGAAACAGUAACUUUUCAAAUAAUUUAAUCGCAUUUUUUGUGCACUCGUUUUCCUAAUGUGGAAAGUCAAUUUUAACAUUAAAUUUAUUUUUGAGGCUUUCUAAUUCUGAAGUAUUCUCAUGAUUUCCAUCGUAUUAUUAUUUUCGCAUCCCCUCUAAACCUUGCCAUUGAAACGGUAAAUUUUAGAUUUUUUAAAGCAUUAAAGGUGGAGUAGGGCCAGAUGGUAUUUUGUCCAAUUUUGCUGACAGAAUUAUCUCCAUAUGCCCAAAUAUUUUACUGAAAGACUCGCAAACUUUUUUUUAAAGGUUGUAAGUUUUUCUAUGUAAGGCUUGGUACAAUUGGAUUUUUUGGAAAUUUUGAGAAAUAAUGCAGGUUCAAAAGCCUGCAGUGCUCAAACACAAGAUUAAAAUAUAAAAAUUGUAGAAAGCCAUUUAUUUUUGAUUGACCUCCAAAAUUAGUUGAAAAUUGAGAAAUUCGCACAUUUUGGCAAUGUUUUUCUCGAAUAUUUUUUCAAGAUGGUUUUACUAUGAUAUAUAAUUUUUUAAAAAAGUGGUUUCAAACAAUUUCCCUACUGACGCUGCUCAAUCUAAACAUAUUGAAGGCAAACAAUAUUGUUUUUUUUUUGAUAAGCACCUAAAAUCUUUUUUGAUAGAUAGUUGAAAUACAUAAUUGUCUAUUAACCUAAAGUUUAAAACCAAUAGAACUUUAACAUGAACUUGUAUUCAUCGAAGUUUCGAAACAGUAACCCCCAUUUAACACCACGCCUGCUUGUUUCUGCUAUAACCGCUUCUAAUAAUUACAGAAAUCACUCAAAACAAAAACUGAAAUCCUCCUCCUCCUUCUCCAUCCAUCCAUAUAAAUUUCAGUGGCUCGGCACAUUCAAAAAGCUUCAAAGCGGCCUGCGUCAGCAAAUCCAUCGAAUCUUUGCUGAUGCUCCAAACAUGCAUUUAGUAACUUAUCGAAGAAGAAGAAGUCACAAACAUUUUCAUUAAACUAGGGUGUUUAUAUAUCAGUUAGGAUAUUCAUUUUUCUUUCAAUUUUUCAUUUUUUCUUCCUUUUCUCCAAAAAACUUUUGCAAUACAAUGGAAUACCCAUGUUUUGUGCUCCUCUCAGAUUCCCCAUCCUCAGCAAACUAUUACGGUCUCUUUUUCCUUAGUUUGUACCCUUUUCAUAUUGAUUGUUGCCUUUUUUGUUUCUCAGUUUUCAUUAUAUUUUUCUCAGUCUUCCAUUUAUAUAUAUCUCCCUCUUUUCUACCAAACAAAAACCAUUUCCAAGAGCAUUCGAUGAUCCCGACACUACACAUUUGAUCUACUACCAUCUUCCAACACACUUUCCCGCCUUUUUUCUCUCGUUGUCAGGGUCUCUCCAACAUCCUUCUAAUCUCUCGAUUCAUCUCCCAUUACAGUAGCGUUGUUUUCUUUGUUUGUGAUUCGCCCUGUCUGAAACUGUUUCAGAAACUCUUAAUAUUCACUGAAAUUACCUCCUUCUCCCAUUUUGCCCACACUUUGUAUUUUAUGCGCAAGUUGUGAUUUGUGUGAUGGUUUUUACUUUUUCAACAAUUUUUCGCCCAUUUCCUCCCAUUUUCUACUUUCUUUUUAUCAUUGAAUUACCUCAAUUCAAAUUG